This 424-nucleotide ribosomal RNA is filed under the name uncultured prokaryote. Its description in RNAcentral is "bacterial SSU rRNA". It matches the Rfam family "Bacterial small subunit ribosomal RNA", at positions 355 to 796 of the family's 1533-position model. The record is from RNAcentral.
UGGGGAAUCUUAGACAAUGGGGGCAACCCUGAUCUAGCCAUGCCGCGUGAUCGAUGACGGCCUUAGGGUUGUAAAGAUCUUUCGCCGGGGACGAUAAUGACGGUACCCGGAGAAGAAGUUCCGGCUAACUUCGUGCCAGCAGCCGCGGUAAUACGAAGGGAACUAGCGUUGUUCGGAAUUACUGGGCGUAAAGCGCGUGUAGGCUGAUUGGUCAGUCAGGGGUGAAAUCCCGGGGCUCAACCCCGGAACUGCCUUUGAUACUGCCAGUCUGGAGACCGGUAGAGGUGAGUGGAAUUCCGAGUGUAGAGGUGAAAUUCGUAGAUAUUCGGAGGAACACCAGUGGCGAAGGCGGCUCACUGGACCGGUACUGACGCUGAGACGCGAAAGUGUGGGGAGCAAACAGGAUUAGAUACCCCCGUAGUCC